UGUACUGAACACCCUUUCCACGCUUAGCUGCCUUGUCUGCUAUCUGGUUUUUGCCUCCGUGUUCUCAAGCCGCUCUGCAGGUCAGAAUGCCCGGCGGAACUCUUUUUUAUCAGGAAGGACUGACGUGGGGGCAACCCUGGCUGCACAUGCACGGGUAGAAGAUGCUCGUCCUGUGAAGCAGCCCCAGGGAACUGAGAGCUUCCUGCACCUCCGCAUCCCCCAGCCCAGGCCAGCUGAGACAGCAGAAGCUCUCGGAGCCAAAUAGAGACCUACUUACCUGCCGGCUCGGGGCAGCCCUGAUGCAGCUACUCUGGGAUGAUCCUGCAGUGGUUCUUGCCCCGCUUCCCACCAGCCGCCCCACUUCUGUCAUCUACCCUCUCCGUUCCCUUCAUCCCAUGCUUGGCUGGCAUCUUGAAUAACCUAAAUCAUAGGUCCUGCCUAAUUAAACCUUCUCUUGCUCUCGCUGCCUGCCAAGUUCACCACCCCUCCCCAAUGUGUCAACGGAGAUGUCCCCCGACAUGUCCAGAUUUUUCUCUCCGUCCUUCAGUCACUGGGUUACUCACCGCUUUCCCUUGAGUAGACCGUCAUUCCUUCACCUCUGAACCUUUGGCCAAGCUCUCUUCUCCUUCUAGAAAGCCCUCCUACACCCCCUUCUCUGGCGUUGUCACUCAUCUGGGGAAAACACUGAUUUAAUCUAGAAAGGACCUGCCUGAGAACAAAGCUAGUGUGGAGCAGACUGAUCUGGGAGAUGCUGAGAGCCGAGAUGCCACCAGAUUGGUCACCCCCAUUUCAGCUCUUCCACUGUCCCUGAAAUUAGGCACAUGGGUAUGGUUUUCACUGUCAGUGAACGGGGAGUGGAAGUGAUUCAUGUCCCUUCCGGAUGGGGACUUUAACAGCCAGCCUGUAAUUCACCUCCUGUCCUGGUCAUUCUUUGCCCAGCCACACUGACUACUCCAGAUGGUAGAAGCUCCAUCCCCUGGGCCCUGGAAGGAGGAAACUCAGAGCAGAGUCCCCAGCUGACCAAAGUGGACGUGUGACAAGGAGAAGAAAUAAACCCUGUUGCCACGUGCCACUAGCAUUCUGAGGGUGUUUGUCACUGCAGCCCAACACAGCCCAUCCUGACUGGGUCACCAUCCUCCAAGGCUAUGGCAAAUGUCAGCUUCUCCAGUAAACCUCUCUUGUUCUUCUCCAACUAGAUUCACUUUUUUAAAAAAUUCAGGACAUGGAAGCAACCUAAGUGUCCAUCAUCGGAUGAAUGGAUAAAGAAGAUGUGGCACAUAUGUACAAUGGAAUAUUACUCAGCCAUAAAAAGAAACGAAAUUGAGUUAUUUGUAGUGAGGUGGAUGGACCUAGAGUCUGUCAUACAGAGUGAAGUAAGUCAGAAAGAGAAAAACAAAUACCGUAUGCUAACACAUAUAUAUGGAAUCUAAGAAAAAAAAAAAAAAAGGUCAUGAAGAACCUAGGGGUAAGACGGGAAUAAAGACACAGACCUACUAGAGAAUGGACUUGAGGAUAU
Molecule: long non-coding RNA, 1516 nt
Organism: Balaenoptera acutorostrata (minke whale)
Lineage: Eukaryota; Metazoa; Chordata; Mammalia; Artiodactyla; Balaenopteridae
Exons: 3
Source: RefSeq, a predicted model, not a curated record